GCCUGAUGCAGCAUGCCGCGUGUGUGAUGAAGGCCUUAGGGUUGUAAAGCACUUUCAAUGGUGAAGAUGAUGACGGUAGCCAUAGAAGAAGCCCCGGCUAACUUCGUGCCAGCAGCCGCGGUAAUA
RNAcentral lists this ribosomal RNA (126 nucleotides) under uncultured bacterium. RNAcentral describes it as "partial 16S ribosomal RNA". It matches the Rfam family "Bacterial small subunit ribosomal RNA", at positions 381 to 525 of the family's 1533-position model. The record is from RNAcentral.